Molecule: long non-coding RNA, 6842 nt
Organism: Mercenaria mercenaria
Lineage: Eukaryota; Metazoa; Mollusca; Bivalvia; Venerida; Veneridae
Exons: 9
Source: RefSeq, a predicted model, not a curated record
UAUUUCGACCCCCAUAGAAUAAUGACCCCCCGGUCAUUAUUCUAUAGAAAAAGUGACCCCCCGGUCAUAGUAUUAUGACCUCCAGAUCAUAGUACUAUGACUCCCCCACGUGAAGUAAACUGAACCUCACGAAGAAUAUUGACUCCCAUAAAAAAAACGACCCCCGGUCACUUGGUCAAAUUUAGUGAUAACUCAUGUAUCUAAGGCCUAAUUGCUGCAUUUUAUGCCCCCACUCGGGGCAGGGGGCAUAUAGAUUUGCCCUUGUCCGUCCGUCCAUCCGUCCUUCCGUUUGACCAUUAGCCCCAGAUACCAUCACUUGACACAGAAAUCAGAGCAUUCCGCAACGGGAAAAGGGAUUCUAUUUCUAGACGCUGUAUCUUGGUGUAUACAUUUUUUUCAGGAAAAUAACAAUUCACAAUACGUUCACAAAACACACCAGUGUCAAUAAUCACUGCAAACUUCGGUAUGAAGUAAUUCUUCAGAAGAAAACUGCGCAAGAAACUGCUAGCAUAGAACUUAGUAUUAAUAGAAGUUGCAAUACUUAGCAGUGACAGUAAAGUACGGUAGCGGCAACAAUAGAAAGUAGUAGUAGUAGUAGUAGUAGUAGUAGUAGUAGUAGUGGCAGUGGUUGUGGCAGUUGCAGUAGCAGCAGCAGCAGUAGCAGCAGAGGAAUAAGUGACAGCAACAACAGCAGCAGGAGAAGAAGAGGUAGAUGUACAAGACGUAUUAGUGGAAGCAGGUAUAGUAGUAUCAAUAGUAGCAGUUGUAGUAGUAGUAGUAGCAGAAGUAGUAGUAGUAGUAGUAGAAGAAGAAGAAGAAGUACAUGUAGUAAUAGCAAUAGAAGUAGCGGCACCAGUAGUAGUAGUACAAUCAAAAUGUUAACUAUUGGCAAUGGAGGGUAUUAGAGUUGUAGAUCUAGUAAAAUUGUCCGUUAGGUUUGGUGGGGAUCACUUUUUAAUAGAUAUUAUCGUCGAAAGUCUUUUUAGGAGCCGGUGUUUUAAACGGAAAGAGUAACUGUUUUAAAUAGAAUAAUGUCCGGGAAUCGAUAUUGUAUGAGAGUUCGAAUGCAGUAAUUUCGGCAGUGAGUAUUUUACAUGGAAGGAGUCACUUUUUCUAUAGAAUAAUAACCGGGGUCGUUAUUCUAUGAGAUUCGAAGGGAGUCAUCUUUAGGGAGUCAGUAUUUUACUUGGAGGGGUCAGUUUUUCUAUAGAAUAAUGACCGGGGGGUCGUUAUUCUAUAGAGUUUUCAAAGGGAGUCAGUUUUUUAUAAGGGGAGUCAAUAUUUUACAGGAAAGGAGUCACAUUUUCUAUAGAAUAAUGACCGGGGGGUCGUUAUUCUAUGGGGGUCGAAAUACUUCAUUACACCGGCACAGUUAAAGUUAUAUGAGGUACAGCAACUGUGAUUGAUGGACAGUCACUGGCCAUAGUAUAUAAUCAUCAAGUUUAACCGGCAUUUGUAUUAACUUUCUCUAUAAAUGAUGUAACGUUGGUAUAUGAGGAAGGCAUAAAUUGUUACACAGCACAGCGGUGCGGUGUAACGACCCAGUAAGUCAAAUGAACUCGUACAAAACCUUACACAAUUCACUCAUCCUUUGUAAAUCAAUCAACACGUUUUUCCCGGGGCAACGCCUUUGUUCAGUUCACUUAGAACGUGAUUUUCAUGACUACACAUUGUUAUUGUUGGCGCCAGCGAGAACAUUCAAAGGGACACGUCUAAAAUGGCUGUGUCUUUGUGGCAGAGAUAAAGUGGUGUAUAUAAUAUCAUAGAUGGGUCCAUGUGUUUUCAGAUUUCUACUGUAGCCUAAAAGGGUUGUGUUCAAGUGACAAAGUUCAAGAUCAAAGAAACAGAUCACAGGUGGAUGUAUUUUUCAAAUAUGGGAUAUCAAAUGGUUACCAUGGAAACGUACGCCUACAUCUAAGUAGUGGUAUCAAUGGAUGACAGACGUCCAGAUGUACAGUUAUACAGCAGAUGAAGCAUAUGAGUCGUGCCAUGAGAAAACCAACAUAGUGGGUUUGCGACCAGCAUGGAUCCAGACCAGCCUGCGCAUCCGCUGGUCUGGAUCCAUGCUGGUCGCAAAGCCACUAUGUUGGUUUUCCCAUGGCACGGCUCAAUUAUAAGGUGUGUAUGUUUACUUUUUCUUCCUUUUGGCAACAUUAUGUUAUGUUUGUUUCUGUUCAUACACACGCCUGUCUGUAUCUUAUACACACAACAGGUUUAGCACGGAAACGCAUGUCCACUUCAAUGGAUUGGUAUAAAUGGAUGACCGACGUUCAGUUGUACUAAGUUAUACAGCAAAUUUUGGAGCAUAAAGGGUGUGUAUAUUUACUUUUCCUUUGAUGCGUAAUUUGUAUAAAGGUAAUACUAAGAUUAUAUAUGUUUGUUUCUGUUCUUACACAUGCAUUUGUCUAUCUAUACACUUAACAGGGUUACCAUGGAAACGUACCUCUUCAACUAUACAAUGGUAUGUAUAUUUCCGCUUCGUUAUACUGUAUGUUUAGUGUUUGCUGUUUUGCCAGGGAUUUGUUUACAGUGGCUACUUGGUUGUUUUUGUGGUGGUGUUUGUUGUGGUGUUUGUUGUGGUGUUUUCGUGUUUAUGGAGGUGUCUGUGGUGGUUUCAAUGUGGUCUUCUCGGUUUUAUUCUUGAUGGUUGUAUUGUUUUGUUGAAAACGGGUAUUUGGUGCGUUUUAUUUGUUGUAUUUGGUUCUUCGUCAUGGUGUUUUUCUUUCUGCCAUUAACAAUGUAUUAUUACUCGCUUUGUAUACUGUAGAAAAUUAUUAAAAUAAGUUCAAUAUUACAUUGUGUUAUAUUAACUUUACUUGUCCAGCAAAUUUUAGAUACCCGGAAACACGUAUCAAGAUAUAUGCAGACGAAUAGGCAUCAUGUGCAGACGACAGCUUGGACUGGGAAGCGUGCGCCAUUGUUUUAUUUCUGCUUUUUAUUCCUUUUGUUUUGCAUUAUGUUGCUUUUAAUAUUAUACUAUUUAGUAUGCAUCUCUUUGCAGAAUUUUUAAGUUGAAUACAAGCAGGUGUAAAGAUGUCGCAUUGUAGAUGACACAAUGGUCCAGUGGAUGGUGAAGAUAGCGCGGCUGAUGUUGACUGUACAGACACACGUUAAGAUGUCAUGCUGUAGCUGUGACAAUGGUUUAGUGGACGGCGCAGCUUGGUUCUUCUUCUCGGACGCACUGAGUAUUCAGUCAGCAGAGCAUUAAGAAAGCAAAGGUCACUUUUCCACUUGGAGUAAUUCACAGUAGCAUGGGAAUGCGGACACAGAUCCUGGUUUUGGUGAAAGAAAUGCUCGAAAUAUCCGACGAGAAGCAAUUUCUUGGAUUAUACACGAAGAAAAUGUUAUUUGAUGGAAAAAUAGUGGCAGUAGAACUACCUUGCUGGUACCCUAACGAAGCCGGUCACCAGAUGUGCAUUGAAACCCUGUCGAACCCUUGCGUUAACAUGGUAAUCAGCCGUUAUCAACAAGGCAAGAUAGCGCAUGGUUAUAGUGGAAAUCAAGCCUUGGUGGACCUUUCUUCUGUAUUUGUCCCGUCUUGUUGAUGGUAGACAGUUGUUCCACACCUCGUACACAACAGAGAAACCCCCUCGAACGAAGACUUCGUUCAGAUCUAAAGGCAAGGAGACAGUGUUUGCCAUUAUUGAAAGACACAGGAAAAGAAGCAAUGACAGAAAACAAAUAUCACCAUACCGCCUUGUCUUUAAUAUUUCCAAUAGCUGACAGUCCGAUGUAAGCCAGAUUCACAAAUAAGAAGUAUCUGCAGAAGGAAGAACCAAUUAUGGUAGAUCCACGACAGUCCUGGCAACAUGGCAUCACCACAGCCCCGACACAAGCCUUGUUAAACUGAUUAUAAAUAAACUGACAUGUAUAUAAUUAUACCCUCAUGUACAAAGUACAUGGGAUUAUAUUGGAGUCACAUUUGUCUAUCUGUCCAUCAUGUCCGCUAGGAAGAUUAAAAAAACUGGCUUCAUUUAUUAGCCUCAACAGGAAUGUUCGUUGUGCACAACCCAAAUCACUAGGAACAAAGUCAUUACUACUCUUGGAGGACAAAGUUCAAAUAACUUUAAUUUAGUGUCCGCUCCAUAUAUUUCUAAACGAAUAUUUAGGUCAAGCAUUCGUUAUUGUACUCGCCCUGCCUGUAUAUUUUCUUAACAGCUGCGUAUAUUAGCAUUAUACUUCACGUAAGGGUUGAAAUUACUGGGGUCAUAUUUUGCUGGUUAAAUCUUAGAUUGCUUCUAAUAUCUUCUCAUACACCCGCUCCUACCCCCUACCCUAACCCACCCCCAAAAGGAAAAGAGUCUUAUUGUUUCAUCACUCACGCUUACUUAUAUCCUAUAACAAUAAAUAUUGGUCAGCAUUUUUCCGAAUAGUCACGCGGGCUUUCUUUACAACAGUUCUUGAUAUAAAAUUAGGAUAGUUAAUAUAUGUAAGCACUCACAACCUAGUUCAUUGGGUCAAUGGUCAAGUUCUGACUUAAAAGACCGCAUCAUAUUGUCUAAUCUAAUAAAGUAAGUACUGUCAAUUCCAUUUAGCCGAAAUAACGAAAAGCACAACACAUGCCACUAGGUUAAAGGUCACUGUGACAUAUAGGAGGUCAAAGGUCAAAUAGGUUUGUGUCUGCUACAUAUCUUGUAACCCCAUUUUCCUUACGACCAUAAAACUAGCAAUAAAUAUCAAGAAGACCUGUAUAGAACCCAGAUUAUUAAGUCCAAGGUCAAGGUUACACUUGAAUGUCAAAAUGAUGACAACAUUGACUUACCCUGCAUCAAAGCAGCGUCUGGGGGUAACAAUAGCUCUAGUUUAUCAUUUUUAGCGGACAAAAUUUGUAAUUGUAUCAACCAUUUGACAAAUAUUUCCUAAAUUUUAAGAUAAAUAUUUUAAACAAAAAUCAGGAAAUUGUUUUUUUUUUAACACUGAUACAGUCAGACUAUUUUUAGACACAGCGAAUAUUUUAGCUUGGUUUGUUGUCAGUCAUGAUUUUAUGCAAGGUAUUUUUCUAAAUGAUAUUUUUGUUGCAAAUAGCACAUUUGACAUUAAUGUUUAUUAAAUCAGGGACAGCGAAUUUUUGUAAGAAUAAAAAAACAUGAUUUGGUUAACUAUUUCAAAAAGUGUCUCAAAUUUUUGCUCUUUUGAACAGUUGCGUUUUAACUGGUCAGGGAUAGUUUCAAAAAUGAAUAUGUGUAUAAAAAGCUACUUUUCGCAAAUUGCAUAGUUUGGAGCGGGGGCUGAAUUCCAAACUCAAAUAUAUAGAGGACAAUUAUUUGUUUCAGUGUAAGCUCGAAAUAGAAACAUUCUAGUGUUCACACGUGAAAAGUUUUUAAAAAUAAUCACACGGAUUUUAUUCUAAUGCAUUUAAUUAUUAUUUUUAUUUUAUAUUUUCUGCCAACGUAACGCCAUACGCAAUGUGCAACGUUACUCUACAUUUAAUGGCAAUAUAUAGUUUGGAAAAAAGUGACAUAGUGACAUUUUAAUCUACAUGUAGUUAUGUUUUAGUUAAAAAGAUAUCCGAUUCUACGUUAUUCAUAUUCUUGCGUUAAAUUGUGGUUACAUACAAGUGAAAAUUAUAUUUGGAUUUCCCACCUUUAAACAAUGGCUUUAUCAGGGUAUAAUGCAUCGUUGUUUUCUUAACCUUCUCAAAAUAUGAUAUAUAAUUCCAUAUGCUAGUAACUGCAGAAUGUACCCAUAAGACUGUAAUUCUUUUAUUCAAACUCCAUUCUAGUCCUUUGUCUGGGUCAUCUACAUGUUGCUUUUAAAAGUCAUUUGGCCUCAUUUUUGUACACUGAAUUUUACACACAGUUUGGCAUAACUUUUAACCAACACUUAACUCUGAGCACUAACCUUAACCAUUUGGGGCUGAAGUGACUUUUAAAGCAACUUUUAUGGGAACAAGACUAGCAUAUCUAUAUAAAUGAUGGGUAGAAAAAUGUUGGCAAACUUUCAGGUUUUUAGUCUACGCUUUUAAUGGAACGUUAGAUUAUAACAUGAUACAUUCAUUGUUUUAAACGGAGAGAAAUCCAAAUAUGAUGUUCACUAGAACGAAACUACACUUUAACGCGGAAGGAUAUGAAUUGUAAGGACGUGAAAUAUGCUUAAAAGCAACAAAGCUGUAUAGUAAUGCUUUCAAAAAACUAAAAUACACGAGAGAAUCAUUGAAAUAUAAAAUAUUCUUAUACAUCUCUUAGACCUAUUGAACUUAUUUUCCAACAUAAGCAUUGUGACGUCAUGAAAUGUAGCGUAACGUUACCCUUGGCGCAUGUCUUUGCAUGGCUGAAUAAGAAAAGAUAAUAUGAAAAAUAAUUAGUUUAACUCGACAAAACAUUUAAGUUAAGAAUUAGAUAUGAAUGUUUCAUAAUGAAUUAUUUUCACUUGGGAACGCUAGAUUUAAGUUCACUCGGUGCUGAAAUAAACGAAUGUCUUCUAUACCUUUUACAAUAGCAAAUGGGUAAAACUUAAGAUGACAGAAAUAACUAAAACAAUCCCUUACCAUUUUGAAAUGACAGUCAAAGUUUCAUUUUUGGUGCAAAUAUUGUUAUACUGAUUUAUUAAUGAUAUACAUUUUGUACCUUGUAUUGUAGUAACGUAGAUACUUCAAAAUAUAAUUCCAAGCUUACCAUUUUUUCUCAAGGAGUUGAAUUCAAUGAAAUUUUGUACAUAUCGUUUCAAAAUAUAAAAUAAUAGUAUUUUUAGAAGUAUUUUUAUUGUUUUAACACUGUAGUUAUACUUUUUAAAUGUUAUUUGCGAUUAUUUUUUAUAUUUUAUUUCUGUUUGAAAAAUGAAUAAAAUGCCAUACAGUUGUGUUGAUUAUUUUAGUUUAAGAAAUAAAAGGUCAUACAAUUGCA